This 214-nucleotide ribosomal RNA is filed under the name Clostridioides difficile. RNAcentral's name for it is "partial 23S ribosomal RNA". It matches the Rfam family "Bacterial large subunit ribosomal RNA", at positions 1241 to 1455 of the family's 2925-position model. Lineage: Bacteria; Bacillati; Bacillota; Clostridia; Peptostreptococcales; Peptostreptococcaceae. The record is from RNAcentral.
CCAUACGGGUUGAAGCAUGACCGUAAGGACAUGUGGACAGUAUGGGAGUGAGAAUGUUGGCAUGAGUAGCGAGAUGUGGGUGAGAAUCCCACAGGCCGUAAACCCAAGGUUUCCAGGGGAAGGUUCGUCCGCCCUGGGUUAGUCGGGACCUAAGCUGAGGCCGAAAGGCGUAGGUGAUGGACAACAGGUUGAUAUUCCUGUACUACCGAUAACC